Molecule: long non-coding RNA, 688 nt
Filed under: Mus pahari (shrew mouse)
Lineage: Eukaryota; Metazoa; Chordata; Mammalia; Rodentia; Muridae
Description: lncRNA (MGP_PahariEiJ_G0032919.1)
Source: RNAcentral
CUAGAAUCCUGAAAUGGGAUAAAUCUCGGGGCCCACGCUGAGCACGCAAGUGUAUCCAAGUUAAGGAUCUGGGGCUGAAAAUGUCUGGCGUCCCUCCUGUGGUGCCUGCUGGGAUUGUACACAUGAGAUUAAGCCUGGAGUGAUCUGGAAAAACUCCCCUCUUUCUCUUGCCUGAAGUAGGCGCAGGUAUUGUGUGUUCUCUUCUUAAACCAUGGAUGUGAGUCUGUGAAGAGCUGGCCCCGAGUGGAUCCGGAGGUCACCGGCGCUUUCCUUCCCACGCUCAGCCCACAGCGUUGCCUCAGUUCUCAGUUCAGUGAACCCCAUAAAAACACUGUUUUAGGUACUUCUCCUGUCUGUCUUUCCAAAGAACCUGCAAAAUGGAGUUGGAUGAAGUAAUCUCUGAGGGUAAUCGCCCUCUCCAACAUCUGGAGUGGACCUUUUUCCCCCUCUAGAGAGGUCUGGGCUGGUGGCGGCUCCUAGGAUCCAGAGAUGCCAGGCUGUGGGCCUGCCUCCUCUUCAUGAGCCCCUCCAGACUCAAAGGGCAUCUGAUUAAGAACCCGAGUGAGUCGAGGCCUCCAGCAGGCCAGGGGCACCGUGAGGGCACAGGAUCCGCAGGGCAGCUAGGCCGUGAAAUCAGUGGUUCACUGGAGGGUUUCUGCCCUCGCAGCCUCCCGGGGCUGCUAGAUAA